This is a non-coding RNA of Leptonychotes weddellii (Weddell seal), 463 nucleotides long. The record is from RefSeq and is a predicted model, not a curated record. Lineage: Eukaryota; Metazoa; Chordata; Mammalia; Carnivora; Phocidae.
ACGUAGCGUUAAGCUGGAGCAGUCUCAGCGCCGGCCGCCAUUUUGUGCAGUCGCUGGGAAGGAAGGAGACGCCUAAACCACGGCACUGCCGGGUUUGAGCGUAGCCACACCUACCCACUGUUUUUAUAAUCCCGAUUCUCUGUGUUUUGCUCCCGUCUCCGACGAGAGAGGCGGCGACGGUGGCGUCUGGGACGGGAGACAGCGCGUCGGAGCGAGAGAGCGCCGCGCCUGCCGCCGCCCCAACAGCGGAGGCGCCGCCGCCAUCGGUCGUCACCAGACCGGAGCCGCAGGCCCUCCCGAGCCCGGCCAUCCGUGCCCCGCUCCCAGAUCUCUAUCCGUUUGGGACCAUGCGCGGAGGCGGCUUUGGGGACCGGGACCGGGAUCGUGACCGUGGAGGAUUUGGUGCAAGAGGUGGUGGUGGCCUUCCCCCGAAGAAAUUUGGUAAUCCUGGGGAGCGUUUACG